UUUACUUUGUCAGAGCAAUCUUACAAAUGAAAAGGCAUUUGUUUUUCUUUAAAAAAGAUACUGUGCUUUUGUCAAAUGUUUAUUGAAUUUGCAUCUGUCAUAAUCAAUGAGCACCUGUCUUAGGAUCCUGGUGCUCAGCACUGCUCCCUGUCUGGUUCACAUCUGCAGGCACCUGAGAAUGAAUAGAGCUCCUCUGCUCUCUCGUUAGCCCCAUCCCAAAGGCUGAGCCUCUACUGUUUGGGAACUAUCAAGAGAAGACACAGCUAUCAAGCCAGGAGUUUCAGAGCCCACUUCCUGAGAGCUCACUGGACAAAGGCUCCAUGCCCACUCCAAGGGUUGGCCCUGGUCAGCCCUCUCUUCUGUUUGGGCUCUCUCAACUCAGUAACCCCACAGGAGGUGGUGUCCUCAGAGGCCCAGGGAGUGGUCCCAACCCACUUUGUAAACCUUGGGCAGUUGCUGAAGGCAGAUCUUCCGCCAAAGCCCUCAUCGAGCCUCAUUCUCAGCCACAUCGUAAGGAUUUAGAGGCCCUAAGCACUGACGACGCUGUGGUGCCACAAAAAUAGACAAGCAGGGCAUGUGCGCUGAAGCUGGAAGAGGCUUCUUCCAUAUUUUCAUUGCAAAAUCAGAACUUUGAUAACCCUGCAUUUUACCGAGAUGUCAAAGCAGGAAGUGCUUGGCUGGAACAUCUGCCGACAGCCUCAUCUCUUUCUGCAAGAUCAUGAUGUUCUGCAUGCUCCUGUGGCCUCUUAUUUCACGUUGCUCUCCCUGCAAAUUUUGAAACAACUUUAAAGAUGAAUAAAAAGCAGCUCAGCAAGUGAAUCCCAGAUCCCGGUAAGAGAGUGUCUCCCCCAACUCACAUAGUGAGUGCACAUCAUCCCCAGAACCACCAUGAGAGUGAGCCUGGUAGCGGGUAGCACCCUGCCUGUGACGAAGCCAGCACACUAUGACGAGCAGCAGCUUCUAGACCCAUGGACCACGGGCACUGCCAACGCUCUCCCUCCGGGGACUCCUCCUGCCUCCCAUACAGGGCCAAACUCCGACGCCCACGAGCUCGCUCAGAAUUGGCUCAGGCUGCAAUCACUUCUCUUCUCCUACCUCCACACCAUUCCCUGAUGGUGGACAGCUUCUCCUUUGAGAACCACACCUGCCUUUUCAGACAAAAGGAGACACCACCCACCCUCCUGCUGAGGGCUGCUCCCCUGGGGCCUUCUCAGCACACCUCUCUCUCUCUAGGUCAAAAAACAAAUUUCACAUGCUGAAUUUUUACCUUUUUUAAAGUGACUCCGAAUUUUGGCACCAGCAAUUAAUUCAACACUUGAAUAAGAUUUGAAAACCUCACAACAAAUCACAAAUAUAUUAUGGGUCCUGUU
RNAcentral lists this long non-coding RNA (1370 nucleotides) under Homo sapiens (human). RNAcentral describes it as "HSALNT0198760". Lineage: Eukaryota; Metazoa; Chordata; Mammalia; Primates; Hominidae. The record is from RNAcentral.